AUGGAUUUAUGCAUGAUGUAUCCAGAAUCCUGUCAGUGUCCCCCUCUAUGCAAAGUGAACUUCCUCACAGUCUGCUAUAAAGACUUGAUAUCAUGCUGUCAGCUGCAGCAGAAGAAGAGAAGCUCCAUCAGGUCACCUUCAACACCAACCAUGUUCUCUGUAGCUCUGCUGCUGCUGCUGGCUGCUGGAUCCUGUGUGAAGUGUGAGCAGUUGAUACAGCCAGCCUCUGUGACUGUGCAGCCAGGUCAACGUCUGACCAUCACCUGUCAGGUCUCUUAUUCUCUUGGCUCCUGGACAGCCUGGAUCAGACAGCCUGCAGGGAAAGGACUGGAGUGGAUAGGAAUGAAAGACACUGGAACUACAUACUUUAAAGAUUCACUGAAGAGCAAGUUCAGUAUCGACUUAGACUCUUCCAGCAAAACAGUGACUCUGAACGGACAGAGCGUGCAGCCUGGAGACUCUGCUGUGUAUUACUGUGCCAGAGACACACUGUGACACACACCAUCAGUAGAGC
Trematomus bernacchii (emerald rockcod) is the source of this 514-nucleotide non-coding RNA. The record is from the annotation of a RefSeq genome assembly. NCBI's taxonomy places the organism in Eukaryota, Metazoa, Chordata, Actinopteri, Perciformes, Nototheniidae.